This is a non-coding RNA of Sporosarcina newyorkensis 2681, 120 nucleotides long. The record is from Rfam. Lineage: Bacteria; Bacillati; Bacillota; Bacilli; Caryophanales; Caryophanaceae.
CUCUUAUCCCGAGUUGGUGGAGGGUACAGGCCCUAUGAAACCCGGCAACCUGCAAAAGACAGUAGUCUAGCGCGAAGGUGCCAAACCUGAAGCAAGGUUAAAUUCCUUGGACGAUAAGAG